RNAcentral lists this ribosomal RNA (766 nucleotides) under Kurthia gibsonii. RNAcentral describes it as "bacterial SSU rRNA". It matches the Rfam family "Bacterial small subunit ribosomal RNA", at positions 82 to 836 of the family's 1533-position model. The record is from RNAcentral. Lineage: Bacteria; Bacillati; Bacillota; Bacilli; Caryophanales; Caryophanaceae.
CUCCUCGAUUGUAGCGGCGGACGGGUGAGUAACACGUGGGCAACCUGCCCUACAGAUUGGGAUAACUCAGGGAAACCUGGGCUAAUACCGAAUAAUCCUUCGAAUCACAUGUUUUGAAGUUGAAAGGCGCUUCGGCGUCACUGUAGGAUGGGCCCGCGGUGCAUUAGCUAGUUGGUGGGGUAACGGCCUACCAAGGCAACGAUGCAUAGCCGACCUGAGAGGGUGAUCGGCCACAUUGGGACUGAGACACGGCCCAAACUCCUACGGGAGGCAGCAGUAGGGAAUCUUCCACAAUGGACGAAAGUCUGAUGGAGCAACGCCGCGUGAGUGAUGAAGGUUUUCGGAUCGUAAAACUCUGUUGUAAGGGAAGAACAAGUACGUUAGGAAAUGAACGUACCUUGACGGUACCUUAUUAGAAAGCCACGGCUAACUACGUGCCAGCAGCCGCGGUAAUACGUAGGUGGCAAGCGUUGUCCGGAUUUAUUGGGCGUAAAGCGCGCGCAGGUGGUUUCUUAAGUCUGAUGUGAAAGCCCACGGCUCAACCGUGGAGGGUCAUUGGAAACUGGGGAACUUGAGUGCAGAAGAGGAUAGUGGAAUUCCAAGUGUAGCGGUGAAAUGCGUAGAGAUUUGGAGGAACACCAGUGGCGAAGGCGACUGUCUGGUCUGUAACUGACACUGAGGCGCGAAAGCGUGGGGAGCAAACAGGAUUAGAUACCCUGGUAGUCCACGCCGUAAACGAUGAGUGCUAAGUGUUAGGGGGUUUCCG